Molecule: non-coding RNA, 859 nt
Organism: Sapajus apella (tufted capuchin)
Lineage: Eukaryota; Metazoa; Chordata; Mammalia; Primates; Cebidae
Source: the annotation of a RefSeq genome assembly
GUGUGUGUGUGCGCUCGUGUUCUCGGAAAACUUUUUCUUCUCUUUCCAUGUCUUAUUUUUUAACUUUUUACAGAGUAGGUGUUAUAAAAUCAUCUUUAGGAAAUACAGAAACACAUUUACAGAAAUGUUCUACAUUUGAACUAAAGGGGGCAGUGCUUCCUUUCAUAAAGAUAAAUAACUUUCGUUACAAACAGGGUUGUUCAUAUCUGAAAUGAAGGUUCUGUGAAAGGACAUGAAUAAAGCACAGAAGGUUGAAGUCAGAUUUGCAGCUUUCUGGGCAGGAGACAAAACAAUCUCCAUCUCCCGCGGAGGGAUGGGCAUGCUCCUGGGGGCAUCAUUGCUGAUUCUGUGGCUUCAGACAGACUGGGUAAAUAGUCAACAGAAGAAUGAUGACCAGCAAGUUAAGCAAAAUACACCAUUCCUGAGUGUCCAGGAAGGAGAACUUUCUAUUCUGAAUUGUGACUAUACUAACAACCUGUUUGAUUAUUUCCUGUGGUACAAAAAAUAUCCUGCUGAAGGUCCUGCAAUCGUGAUAUCUAUAAGUUCAGUUACGAAUCAAAAUAAAGAUGGAAGAUUCACAGUCUUCUUAAACAAAAGUGCCAAGCGCCUCUCUCUGCACAUUGCGCCCUCCCAGCCUGGAGACUCUGCAGUGUACCUCUGUGCAGCAAGCGCACAGUGCUCUGCAGGCACCUGCAGCCCGUACUCAAACCUGCUUUGGGGUCUCAAACUGGGAGGCACACAGACUCGCCUUCAUUUACACAUGGCAGUAUGAGAGAUCAUGCUUUGAAGUCGGUGAGGCAAGUUGAGCUUAAAGAAAGACUGAUACAUGACAAGCCUUACAGACAAGAAAGUUACCUUA